AGGUCCUGUUCGGCAGUAAUCGCA
Molecule: non-coding RNA, 24 nt
Filed under: Arabidopsis thaliana (thale cress)
Lineage: Eukaryota; Viridiplantae; Streptophyta; Magnoliopsida; Brassicales; Brassicaceae
Source: RNAcentral